This 922-nucleotide ribosomal RNA is filed under the name uncultured Tulasnellaceae. Its description in RNAcentral is "eukaryotic LSU rRNA". The record is from RNAcentral. Lineage: Eukaryota; Fungi; Basidiomycota; Agaricomycetes; Cantharellales; Tulasnellaceae.
GUUCGCUUUUCCCUCGUCCUCGGGACAUUAAGGUGCUCUGGUCGAGGAUAAAYGACCCCUCUGACCGAGGUCAAACCYGUCGCUCUGUGUUACCUCWAAAAAAWUUUUUCCGAGGCACACCUUAAAGAUCGUUCCGCAUUGUGAGUCUAACACCAGUUGUAUAAACUUUUUACAACCGGUAGCGCUGGAUCCCUUGGCACGUCAUUCGAUGAAGACCGUUGCAAAUUGCGAUAAAGUGAUGUGAUGCGCAAGUCCACCACUUAUACGUGAAUCAUCGAGUUGUUGAACGCAUUGCACCGCGCCCUAAUCCGGCUGCGGUAUGCCCCUUUGAGCGUCAUUGUAUUCCUUCGGGAGUCCUUUUACAAGGACCCGAGUUCGGAGUCCUCGGUCCCCUGUGGAUCGUGUUCUCUCAGAUSCSUCGCACCGAUCGCCUGAUGGGUCCUCUAAUGCCUAAGCGUGGAGKUCCUUCAGAGUCCGAGAGGUGCUUGACCGAGUCUUGAGCUCGUGUCACCAAGUCUGCCUAACAGCAGUACUACAACCCAUGACCUCAUUGGGGUAGGACAACCCGCUAGACUUAAGCAUAUUAAUCAGCGGAGGAAAAGAAACUAACCAGGAUUCCCUCAGUAACUGCGAGUGAAGCGGGAUCGGCUCAAUGUGUGAAUCUGGCUUGGGGUACAUCCCGGGUUCGAGUUGUGCACUAUGGAUGCUUCGUCUGCGUUUGUAAAGGCRGUGGAAGUCCGUUGAAACACGGCACCUCAGAGGGUCACAGUCCUGUACCACCUGCCUGCACUCGCGCCAAUGACAAGUGCUCCUCGAGUCGCGUAGUUUUGUAAUGCUGCGCCAAGUGGGAGGUAGAGACCUUCUAAGGCUAAAUAUGAUGACGUGACCGAUAGCACACAAGUACCGCGAGGGAAAGGUGAAA